GCAGCCGCCGCGGUAAUACGAAGGGGGCUAGCGUUGCUCGGAAUUACUGGGCGUAAAGGGCGCGUAGGCGGAUAGUUUAGUCAGAGGUAAAAGCCCAGGGCUCAACCUUGGAACUGCCUAUGAUACUGGCUAUCUUGAGUUCGGGAGAGGUGAGUGGAAUGCCGAGUGUAGAGGUGAAAUUCGUAGAUAUUCGGCGGAACACCAGUGGCGAAGGCGACUCACUGGCCCGAUACUGACGCUGAGGCGCGAAAGCGUGGGGAGCAAACAGGAUUAGAUACCCCCGUAGUCCCUGUCUCUUAUAC
This 302-nucleotide ribosomal RNA is filed under the name uncultured bacterium. RNAcentral describes it as "partial 16S ribosomal RNA". It matches the Rfam family "Bacterial small subunit ribosomal RNA", at positions 508 to 807 of the family's 1533-position model. The record is from RNAcentral.